RNAcentral lists this ribosomal RNA (428 nucleotides) under uncultured bacterium. RNAcentral describes it as "partial 16S ribosomal RNA". It matches the Rfam family "Bacterial small subunit ribosomal RNA", at positions 354 to 796 of the family's 1533-position model. The record is from RNAcentral.
GUAGGGAAUAUUGCGCAAUGGACGAAAGUCUGACGCAGCGACGCCGCGUGAGUGAUGAAGGCCUUAGGGUCGUAAAGCUCUGUUGAAUGGGAAGAAAAAAAUGACGGUACCAUUCGAGGAAGGACCGGCUAACUUCGUGCCAGCAGCCGCGGUAAUACGAGGGGUCCUAGCGUUGUUCGGAAUCAUUGGGCGUAAAGGGUGUGUAGGUGGCCAUGUAAGUCAGGUGUGAAAGCCCCGGGCUCAACCCGGGAAGUGCACUUGAUACUGCGUGGCUUGAAUACCGAAGAGGGUAGUGGAAUUCCAGGUGUAGUGGUGAAAUACGUAGAUAUCUGGAGGAACACCGGUGGCGAAGGCGGCUACCUGGUCGAGUACUGACACUGAGACACGAAAGCAUGGGGAUCAAACAGGAUUAGAAACCCGAGUAGUCC